AAAUUGAAGAGUUUGAUCAUGGCUCAGAUUGAACGCUGGCGGCAGGCCUAACACAUGCAAGUCGAACGGUAACAGGAAGCAGCUUGCUGCUUUGCUGACGAGUGGCGGACGGGUGAGUAAUGUCUGGGAAACUGCCUGAUGGAGGGGGAUAACUACUGGAAACGGUGGCUAAUACCGCAUAACGUCGCAAGACCAAAGAGGGGGACCUUCGGGCCUCUUGCCAUCAGAUGUGCCCAGAUGGGAUUAGCUUGUUGGUGAGGUAACGGCUCACCAAGGCGACGAUCCCUAGCUGGUCUGAGAGGAUGACCAGCCACACUGGAACUGAGACACGGUCCAGACUCCUACGGGAGGCAGCAGUGGGGAAUAUUGCACAAUGGGCGCAAGCCUGAUGCAGCCAUGCCGCGUGUAUGAAGAAGGUCUUCGGGUUGUAAAGUACUUUCAGCGGGGAGGAAGGUGUUG
RNAcentral lists this ribosomal RNA (459 nucleotides) under Salmonella enterica. Its description in RNAcentral is "bacterial SSU rRNA". It matches the Rfam family "Bacterial small subunit ribosomal RNA", at positions 1 to 456 of the family's 1533-position model. The record is from RNAcentral. Lineage: Bacteria; Pseudomonadati; Pseudomonadota; Gammaproteobacteria; Enterobacterales; Enterobacteriaceae.